CUUUGGUGGUACCCGCCUCGGGAACAAUUUCGCUCUGAGAGCAAGUGGGUAUUGGAGGUUAAUCCCUCUGUGGAAAUACUGGAUUGAAAGCCCUGAGGUCAGGGGUCUGAGUACCGCUUCUGUUUACAUAUCAACUUCCUGGUCCUGGGAGACCAUGCAGGGCCAGGGGAGGGGAACGGGCAAGAAAGGAAAGAAAACGAGAAUUUUUAAAUUAAAUGCCCUCCCCUCUAAAAAGAAAGUCAACAACAUGAGGUAGAGCUUGUGGAAUCAAGGUGUGAUUUUCAUGUCUAUGAACAUAAAUUUCUUUUAAUUUUUUUUUCAGUCAUGGUUACAUCCUGGAGUUAAAGCAUCUUUUGAAACACAAUUUGAAAUGAAAUACUGAUACGUGUGUAAGUGUGUGGAGGGUAGGUAGGUAGGUAUGAUUUUUAAACAAGACACAGGAAGAAAGAAACGCUACUUGUCUCUUGAGUAUCAGAGGGAGCUCAAUCAAAUUAAGCCAAUGUGCUUCAACCCCCUUGGCUGUACUGUAACAGUGGGUUCUGAUUUGGUUUAAGUUUGGUUUACAAUCAUGAAGAUUCUACGUCAGGCCAGUGAGCUGAAAACUGUUGUAUUAAAGGCCCAUUUGAAACUACCAGCCACAUGUGUACAUCAGAAGCUUAGAUGAUAGUGUUAAAGCUAAGCAACCCCACUCUCUCAAAAGAGUGAAAAGGAAGCCAGACACGGUGACACACACCUGUGAUCCCAGCAACUUGGGAAGCUGAGGCAGUAGGAUCACAAGUUCAAAGCCAGCCUCAGCAUUUUAGGCCCUAAGCAACUCAGUGACAUCCUGUCUCUAAAUAAAAUGUAAAAAGAGCAAAAGAGCUGGGGAUAUGGCUCAGUGGUUAAGCAUACCUGGGUUCAAUCCCUGGAGAGAGAGAGAGAGAGAGAGAGAGAGAGAGAGAGAGAGAGAGAGAAGGAAGAAAAGUGAAGAGAGGAAAAAGAGAAUGUUUCUUUCAUCUCCUCAAAAAAAGGCAAAGCAAAACUACAAAGUUGGGGAGACAGCUUCAGAAAGACCUAGAAGAUAUGCAAAAUGAUUAAUCAAGAAAGUUUUUCAAGACCUAGAAUUUUUUUAAAAGAUUAAAUGUAAAAGGCAAAAUAGUUCAUUUAUUUGUUUGUUUGUUUGUUUGAAGAAAGGCAGGGACUUAAAAGUCUGUCCAAGAUGUAUGUAAGGACAUUAACAAAGUAUUCAUGAAGAAACAGUGGAAAACCUAUUACUUGGGACAUUUACAACCAGAUAAAAAAAAUUAGGUAUGUAGGACUUAUAUCCAAAAGGGUCCAUAACAAAACAGACCCCAAAUACCUGAGCACUAGUUUCCUCUUGUGUUUCUAACUCCUGUUUUGUUUUGUUUGUUUGUUUUUUGGGGGGGUAGAUUUUUUUUAUUAAGGUUUUUGCAAAUAUUAAAGAAAAUUCUCACUGUUCGCUCUUGUCAAAUGAAAAAAGAAAGCAUUUCUGCAAUAAAUCUUUGCACUUUGAGUCUCCAACUAAAGAAUUCUUUAAUUCUAAGGAUUACAUUUUGGGGCAGGGGUGGGAUGGGGGCAGUACCAGAGAUUGAACUCAGGGGCACUCAACCACUGAGCCACAUCCCCAGCCCUAUUUUGUAUUUUACCUAGAGACAGGGUCUCACUGAGUUGCUUAGCUCCUCACCAUUGCUGAGGCUGGCUUUGAACUUGCUUUUCUCCUGUCUCAGCCUCCUGAGUCGCUGGGAUUACAGGCAUGCACCACCUGCCCAGCUCUAAAGACUACAUUUUGAAAAAUGAAUUUGUUAACAGAAAC
RNAcentral lists this long non-coding RNA (1813 nucleotides) under Marmota monax (woodchuck). Lineage: Eukaryota; Metazoa; Chordata; Mammalia; Rodentia; Sciuridae. The record is from RNAcentral.